CUCUCAUGCCGUCCUUGAAUGGUGCAUCCUGGCAUUAAGUUGUCGGGGUGAGAGCCGUUCAUCGUUUACUGUGAGAAAAUUAGAGUGUUCAAAGCAGGCUUAUGCCGUUGAAUAUAUUAGCAUGGAAUAAUAAGAUAGGACUUUGGUACUAUUUUGUUGGUUUGAGAACCAAGGUAAUGAUCAAUAGGGACAGUUGGGGGUAUUCGUAUUCAGUUGUCAGAGGUGAAAUUCUUAGAUUUCCGGAAGACGAACUACUGCGAAAGCAUUUACCAAGGAUGUUUUCAUUAAUCAAGAACGAAAGUAUGGGGAUCGAAGAUGAUUAGAUACCAUCGUAGUCUAUACCAUAAACUAUGCCGACUCAGGAUGGGCGGGUGCAUUUUUGCCUCGUCUGCACUGUAUGAGAAAUCAAAGUCUUUGGGUUCCGGGGGGAGU
This 432-nucleotide ribosomal RNA is filed under the name Chaetoceros cf. neogracilis. RNAcentral's name for it is "SSU rRNA". It matches the Rfam family "Eukaryotic small subunit ribosomal RNA", at positions 687 to 1124 of the family's 1831-position model. The record is from RNAcentral. Lineage: Eukaryota; Bacillariophyta; Thalassiosirophyceae; Chaetocerotales; Chaetocerotaceae.